UUUUUUUUUUUUUUUUUUUUUUUUGUAUUUUUAGUAGAGAUGGGGUUUCACUGUGUUGGCCAGGAUGGUCUCAAUCUCCUGACCUCGUGAUCCACCCGUCUCAGCCUCCCAAAGUGCUGGGAUUACAGGCAUGAGCCACCGCGCCCGGCCUCCCUGAUUGUUGCUAAGUGGGUGCUUUAAAAACCUCAGUAAGAGCCUGGCACAGUGGCUCAUGCCUGUAAUCCCAGCAAUUUGGGAGACCAAGGUGGGUGGAUCACCUGAGGUCAGGAGUUCGAGACCAGCCUGGCUAAUAUAGUGAAACACCGUCUCUACUAAAAAUACAAAAAUUAGUUGGGCGUGGUGGCACACGCCUGUAAUGCCUGCUACUUGGGAGGCUGAGGCCGGAGAAUCACUUGAACCUGGGAGGCAAAGGUUGCAGUGAGCCAAGAUUGUGCCAUUGCACUCCAGCAUGAGCAACAAGAGCGAAACUCUGUAAAACAAACAAACAAACAAACAAAACCUCAGUAAGAGUGGAAGUGGUUUACAACUAUUGGUGCCAUGACAACAGAUAAAUCGGAAAAAGGGAACUUCAGGAACAAUGUGGUCGGGAUGGAGGUGUUGGAGGUUGUUUUUUCUUUUAAUUAACAAAAAAAACAGGAACACAUUUAGAAGUAAAUAGAGGGCCCAAUUUUCUCUUUUUGGUCUGAAAGGGGCUUCAAAAAAUUGUUUUCAAUGUUAAACAGAAUAGCAAUGGCAAUGAAGAUAGUAAGAAGCACAACCAUCUGUUUAGCAUGAUGUCCCCGUGGGGGCUGGGGGAGAGAUUUCCUCUAUUUACAGGGGAGACUGAGGCUCAGAAGGGUCAAGUGCCUGGCCCAGGCGCCUUGUCCUGUUAGAGGAGGGCACAGCUGAGGAGGACGGAGGCUGCAGAACCCCAGGGAGUCUCGGCUCUCCAGCCCAGGUGCAGCUGCCCCUUGGGCAGACAGCCUGGAACACAUCCGCUCAUUAGUGGCCUACCCAGGCAGCUGGCCGAGCGCCUGUCCCCGAAGGCCUUCCUGAGCUCAGAGGCUCCCCAGCCCUGGCACUGAGGGUGCAAUCCCAGAGCUGCUUUCCCAGGCUCGUUGCACAGGCAGGUGCAGCCCAGGUGUCUGACAACUUUGGCUCCAGCGUCAUGGACUCCACAUCUAAGACCUUGUGGGACACCCAGGAGUUUUGAGCUCAGCAGUGAGCUCGGAGCUUGAGCUUGGGUUGCAGAAUCCAAAAAUCAAUUAAUGUGGGGCUUCAGGGGACAUCUGUCUGACCGGUGGUUUCGUAAAAUCUUCAAUCACUGUGAGACAGAAGAUGUGUGCUGCAUGCUGUGGCUAGGGCAUGCGUGGCUGCAGCUGCCGCCAAAUAGGAAGGGCCCCCGCAGUGCCUCCAUCCUGCAGCCGUGACUUUCUUCCCAAGUGCAGUGGGGUGCAGGGGGGGGAGUGUCUUGGGUCAAGGGGCUCUCCAGGCAGCUCUGCCUCCUCCAUAGUCCUCCAGGCCCCCUUUACUUGAAGAAUAAGCAACUAGCCCUGUGGCAGUCAGUUCUAAGGGAGAGGGGCCUGAAGUGUCAGCAAGAGUCAGAGCCAGGCACCUGGCAGAGCUGUGAGGGGCAGAGGCAAUGGUGAUGGGAGCCAGUGAGACCAGAGCAUGUGUCAAAUCUCCCCUCUGAUCAUUUUGGAACAAGUGCAGUGAGCUGGAGUUGGAAGUGUUCCCAAAUUGCAAUCAUCUGGGGUCUUCGUCUGUCUCUUCUCCCGGUUAGUUUGGCAGCGGAUGUGAGGGAGGUGCUCUUCAUCAGUCACUGGGCUCAUGAAUGGUCCUCAUUUCCCGAAUCCUUCUGCAUCGUUCUCUGAAUUCGGCAGGGGCACGUCUCCCCGGGCUGAC
Macaca mulatta (Rhesus monkey) is the source of this 1884-nucleotide long non-coding RNA. Lineage: Eukaryota; Metazoa; Chordata; Mammalia; Primates; Cercopithecidae. The record is from Ensembl.